RNAcentral lists this ribosomal RNA (348 nucleotides) under Cordyceps militaris. RNAcentral describes it as "eukaryotic LSU rRNA". The stretch from base 1 to 125 matches the Rfam family "5.8S ribosomal RNA", at positions 29 to 154 of the family's 154-position model. The record is from RNAcentral. Lineage: Eukaryota; Fungi; Ascomycota; Sordariomycetes; Hypocreales; Cordycipitaceae.
UGCAUCGAUGAGAACGCAGCGAAAUGCGAUAAGUAAUGUGAAUUGCAGAAUUCAGUGAAUCAUCGAAUCUUUGAACGCACAUUGCGCCCGCCAGCAUUCUGGCGGGCAUGCCUGUUCGAGCGUCAUUUCAACCCUCGACGUCCCCCCGGGGACGUCGGCGUUGGGGACCGGCAGCACACCGCCGCCCCCGAAAUGAAGUGGCGGCCCGUCCGCGGCGACCUCUGCGUAGUACUCCAACGCGCACCGGGACCCCGACGCGGCCACGCCGUAAAACACCCCACUCUGAACGUUGACCUCGGAUCAGGUAGGAAUACCCGCUGAACUUAAGCAUAUCAAUAAGCGGAGGAA